This 58-nucleotide microRNA precursor is filed under the name Homo sapiens (human). Its description in RNAcentral is "Hsa-Mir-34-P3a-v1_pre stem-loop". The record is from RNAcentral. Lineage: Eukaryota; Metazoa; Chordata; Mammalia; Primates; Hominidae.
AGGCAGUGUAUUGCUAGCGGCUGUUAAUGAUUUUAACAGUUGCUAGUUGCACUCCUCU